RNAcentral lists this long non-coding RNA (379 nucleotides) under Homo sapiens (human). Its description in RNAcentral is "HSALNT0377524". Lineage: Eukaryota; Metazoa; Chordata; Mammalia; Primates; Hominidae. The record is from RNAcentral.
GCGGCGGCGGCGAGGCCUGGGCGCGGUUAACGAUUAACGCCCGCAGGGUGAUGAGCGCGCACCCCCGGGCAGCCUAGAUGCUCUAGGAUACCAAGACGCACGUGGUGGGGUCACCCUGGUGUCACAGACCUGCUAUCACCGCCUCCCGAGACAGCAUGGACUGCCAGAACGUACCCCUUGUAUGGACAGGGAACACCGGGCCCUGCGAAGGGGGCUGAGGGCUUUCCCAAUGGUAAAUGCAGACCUCUGAGAAGCUGACGGGAAAGAGAUAAAGGAGACAACGUGAAGGCAACUCCACAAGGAACUGUUAAAUAGGAAAAAUAAAACACAGAAACCUGGAUGAUAGAGGACCCGUUUUUAUAAAACAAAGAGAACCGUU